CGAACGAAAAGGGAGAAGCCCAGCGCAUAACCUCUCGGGCCACCAGGCCUGCAGCGGAAUUUUGCGUAAAGGGAAUGAUCACGCACACGCUCGCAAGGGUGUGUGUGCCCAAUGUCACAUAGCAUUCGACCUAAGUCCAGUGGUGAAACUCUGCCGAACCUUUGUUGGUUCUACAUCUCCAUGGAGGGUGAAAGACCCGUGUGGCGAAUGCACAGUGUCUGGGUUUGAUCGUUUCCCUGAGAGUCGCGUUGCUUGAGCAUGCAGCGCUAAGCAGGACGUAGACUCGUCCUAAGGCUAAAUAUUUCCACAGAACCGAUAGCGAACAAGUACCGUGAGGGAAAGUUGAAAAGAACUCUGAAGAGAGAGUUAAAAGACCGUGAAACCGUUCAGGGUAGAGACUGAUGGAUUUGGCUUUCCGGUGACGGCAAAGAGAUGAAUAAAGACGCUGCCAUGAGUUGCCGUCUCCAGUGUGUGCAGGAGAUAAAUGGAAGACAGUGGGUCUGUGGUCAGUGAAGCGGACGUUUGACAUAGCGUGUGACGGUUGUAACACACUGGGGCCAAACGGACGGGGUUUUGGCGUCGAUGAUGAGUGAGAACCUGUAUUGCCUCGCGCUGCAGUCUAUUGCUUUGAUGGCGGCCUUGAGUUCGCACUCACUUUGAGAUCUCCUGCACCGUAGCCAUCGGAAUGCACCAACACUUUACGAGGUCAGGGUGCCGUUGCAUUCA
This 726-nucleotide ribosomal RNA is filed under the name Paracalliope fluviatilis. RNAcentral's name for it is "partial large subunit ribosomal RNA". It matches the Rfam family "Eukaryotic large subunit ribosomal RNA", at positions 90 to 613 of the family's 3401-position model. Lineage: Eukaryota; Metazoa; Arthropoda; Malacostraca; Amphipoda; Paracalliopiidae. The record is from RNAcentral.